UACGUAGGGGGCAAGCGUUGUCCGGAAUCAUUGGGCGUAAAGAGCGUGUAGGCGGUUCGGUAAGUCGGCUGUGAAAGUCCAGGGCUCAACCCUGGGAUGCCGGUCGAUACUGCCGGACUAGAGUUCGGAAGAGGCGAGUGGAAUUCCCGGUAUAGCGGUGAAAUGCGCAGAUAUCGGGAGGAACACCUAUGGCGAAGGCAGCUCGCUGGGACGUUACUGACGCUGAGACGCGAAAGCGUGGGGAGCAAACAGG
RNAcentral lists this ribosomal RNA (253 nucleotides) under uncultured bacterium. RNAcentral's name for it is "partial 16S ribosomal RNA". It matches the Rfam family "Bacterial small subunit ribosomal RNA", at positions 524 to 776 of the family's 1533-position model. The record is from RNAcentral.